RNAcentral lists this ribosomal RNA (213 nucleotides) under Agaricales sp. Its description in RNAcentral is "partial large subunit ribosomal RNA". The record is from RNAcentral. Lineage: Eukaryota; Fungi; Basidiomycota; Agaricomycetes; Agaricales.
AAACGCUUGAAGUCAGUCGCGUCUGCCGGAACUCAGCCUUGCUUCUGCUCGGUGCACUUUCUGUUUGGAUGGGUCAGCAUCAAUUUUGAUCGUUGGAUAAAGGCUUGGGGAAUGUGGCAUCUUCGGAUGUGUUAUAGCCCUUGGUUAUACAACGGUUGGGAUUGAGGAACUCAGUGCUUGCACUCAGGAUGCUGGCAUAAUGGCUUUAAUCGA